RNAcentral lists this long non-coding RNA (9819 nucleotides) under Salmo salar (Atlantic salmon). RNAcentral describes it as "lncRNA (ENSSSAG00000081936.1)". The record is from RNAcentral. Lineage: Eukaryota; Metazoa; Chordata; Actinopteri; Salmoniformes; Salmonidae.
AAAGACGUCAUCAUCCGAAACGUACUGCGCAUGUCAGGUUGGUUGACAACAAGAACUGCAUGACCUGAAACAAUAGCUAGGAAAAACACUCGUUUUCUGGUAAGACGUACAAUAUUAAUUUCACCGUAGAAUAAAUAGUUAGUAUGCUGUUAAAUACAUUUUAUUCCAGCGCAUAUAGCAAACAAGCUUGACCUGCUUUGCUGAUGCUAGCUAGCAGCGGGUGGGUAUGCUUUGGAACGCUCCGACAGAAAUCUGUUCCAAAAACUAAGUAAAUAACAAGGUUAUAUAGCGGCAGAAUAAGAUACCGGCUAGGGGGUGGGCGAAUUGAGCAUGCUACUUUAUAUGCGUUGUUUGUUGGCAACCUUGUACUUUACCAAGUUUUUGGAACAGAUUCCUAUUGGAACGUUCCACAAAUUAUACCCACCCGCUAACAGCUGCUAUCGUUAGCUAGCCUCCUAACGUUAACCUUUUGCUUCCAUUUUUUGCUGGCUAGUUAGCCAGCUUAUGUUAUGAUUCGUUUAUUUAUUAGCUAACUUAGUUUACAAACCAGUCGACAGUCAACUGACUUUCUUGCUCACUGAUGAGUGAUUUUAAUUAGUUAACUAGCUAGUUAGCAUAAUUGGCACGAGGAGUGGAGCAGUGAAUUAAACAAAGGUUAACUUGCCCGUUUGUUAGCCAAAGCCCGUUAUCAUGUUAGCUAGCGUACCUAGUUAUAGAACCUGUAGCUAGCUAUAGACCUUGUUAUUUGGCAAUUUCUUGUUGACUUGAAGAAGCCAGCCUGCCAAUGUUACCCAAUCAAUGUCUAGAUGGCUACCUAACAUAUAUUUCUGUCUUAGUUUGUCAAAUCCCUAUUGAUAGCUACGAGCACGGCAUUUGUUGGCCAACCCUCCUGGAGAGCUACUGCUGAGUGUACAGUAGAGGCUUAUUUAUCUAGCCCUGUUCUAAUAGGCAUCCAGUAAGACAACAUAUAGGAUGAAGGCCGUCACUUAGUUAACCAACAUUUUUGAAAACAUUUAUUGUGGGACUUUUCCCAACAAGGUACUCUUGAAGAAACAAAGGUAAAGUUCAUGAUUUAAAAUGCUGUUAUUAUCGUGGCAUUUCGGAAUGUGUAUAUACAGUUGAAGUUGGAAGUUUACAUACACUUAGGUUGUAGUCAUUAAAACUCUUUUUUUUCAACCACUCCACAAAUUUCUUGUUAAAAACUAUAGUUUUGGCAAGUCGGUUAGGACAUCUACUUUUUGCAUGGCACAAGUAAUUGUUCCAAUAAUUGUUUACAGACAGCUUAUUUCACUUAUUAUUCACUGCAUCACAAUUCCAGGGGGUCAGAAGUUUACAUACACUAAGUUGACUGCCUUUAAACAGCUUAGAAAAUUCCAUAAAAGGAUGUCAUGGCUUUAGGAGCUUCUGAGAGGCCAAUUGACAUAAUUUGAGUCAGUUGGAGGUGUACCUGUUGAUGUAUUUCAAGGCCUACCUUCAAACUCAGUGCCUUUUGCUUGAGAUCAUGGGAAAAUCAAAAGAAAUCAUCCAAGACCUCAGGAAAAAAAUUGUACACCUCCACAAGUCUGGUUCAUCCUUGGGAGCAAUUUCCAAACGCCUGAAGAUACCACGUUCAUCUGUACAAACAAUAGUACACUAGUAUAAACACCUUGGGACCACGCAGCCGUCAUACCGCUCAGGAAGGAGACUCGUUCUGUCUCCUAGAGAUGAAUGUACUUUGGUGCGAAAAUUGCAAAUCAAUCCCAGAACAACAGCAAAGGACCUUGUGAAGAUGCUGGAGGAAACGGGUACAAAAGUGUGUAUGUAUAUAUAUAUAUAUAUAUAUAUGCACGCACGCAGUAAAACGCUCAGCAAAGAAGAAGCCACUACUCCAAACAUCCAUAAAAAAGCCAGACUGGGGAAAAAGAUUGUACUUUUUGGAGAAAUGUCCUCUGGUCUGAUAACAAAAAUAGAACUGUUUGUCUAUAAUGACCAUCGUUAUGUUUGGAGUAAAAAGGGGGAGGCUUGCAAGCCGAAGAACACCAUCCCAACCUGAAGGACGGGGGUGGCAGCAUCAUGUUGUGGGGGUGCUUUGCUGCAGGAGGCAUGUCACAAAAUGGAUGGCAUCAGGAAGGAAAAUUAUGUGGAUAUAUUGAAGCAACAUCUCAAGACAUCAGCCAGGAAGUUAAAACUUGGUCGCAAAUGGGUCUUCCAAAUGCACAAUGACCCCAAGCAUACUUGCAAGCAAAGUUGUGGCAAAAUGGCAUAAGGACAAUAAAGUCAAGGUAUUGGAGUUACCAUCACAAAGCCCUGACCUCAAUCCUGUAGAAAAUGUGUGAGCAGAACUGAAAAAGCGUGUGCCUGACUGAGUCACACCAGCUCUGUCAGGUGGAAUGGGCCAAAAUUCACCCAGCUUAUUGUGGGAAGCUUGUGGAAGGCUACCCAAAAUGUUUGACCCAAGAUAAACAAUUUAAGGCAAUGCUACCAAAUACACUCAAUUAGUAUGUAAACUUCUGACCCAGUGGGAAUGUGAUGACAGAAAUAAAUCAAGGAAAUAAAUCACUCUCUACUAUUAUUCUGGCAUUUCACAUUCUUAAAAUAAAGUGGUGACCUAAAACAGGGAAUUUGUGGUGACCUAACUGACCUAAAACAGGGAAUUUGUACUUGGAUUAAAUGUCAGGAAUUGUGGAACUGAGUUUAAAUGUAUUUGGCUAAGGUGUAUGUAACCUUCCGACUUCAACUGUAUGUGUGUAUAUAAACUCAGCAAAAAAAGAAACGGGCCCUUUUCAGGACCCUGUCUUUCAAAGAUAAUUCGUAAAAAUCCAAAAACUUCACAGAUCUUCAUUGUAGAGGGUUUAAACACUGUUUCCCAUGCUUGUUCAAUGAACCAUAAACAAUUAAUGAACAUGCACCUGUGGAACGGUCAUUAAGACACUAAUAGCUUACAGAUGGUAGGCAAUUAAGGUCACAGUUAUGAAACCUUAGGACACUAAAGAGGCCUUUCUACUGACUCUGAAAAACACCAAAAGAAAGAUACCCAGGGUCCCUGCUCAUCUGCGUGAACGUGCCUUAGGCAUGCUGCAAGGAGGCAUGAGGACUGCAGAUGUGGCCAGGGCAAUAAAUUGCAAUGUCCAUACCAUGAGACGCCUAAGACAGAGCUACAGUGAGACAGGACGGACAGUUGAGUGUCCUUGCAGUGGCAGACCACGUGUAACAACACCUGCACAGGAUCAGUACAGCUGAACAUCACACCUGUGGGACAGGUACAGGAUGGCAACAACUGCCUGAGUUACACCAGGAACGCACAAUCCCUCCAUCAGUGCUCAGACUGUCCGCAAUAGGUUGAGAGAGGCUGGACUGAGGGCUUGUAGGCCUGUUGUAAGGCAGGUCCUCACUAGACAUCACUGGCACAAACCAACCGUCGCUGGAUCAGACAGGACUAGCAAAAAGUGCACUUCACUAACGAGUCGCGGUUUUGUCUCACCAGGGGUGAUGGUCAGAUUCACGUUUAUCGUAGAAGGAAUGAGCGUUACACCGAGGCCUGUACUCUGGAGCGGGAUCGAAGUGGAGGGUCCGUCAUCGUCUGUGGCGGUGUGUCACAGCAUCAUUGGACUGGGCUUGUUGUCAUUGCAGGCCAUCUCAACGCUGUGCGUUACAGGGAAGACGACAUCCUCCCUUAUGUGAUGUCAUGCUGGAGGGUCAUGUCAGGAUAAUGCCACCAGCCAUACUGCUCGUUCUGUGCGUGUUUCCUGCAAGUCAGGAAUGUCAGGGUUCUGCCAUGGCCAGCGACGAGCCUGGAUCUCAAUCUCAUUGAGCACAUCUGGGACCUGUUGGAUCGGAGGGUGAGGGCUAGGGCCAUUCCCCCCCCCCCCCCCAGAAUUGUCCGGGAACUUGCAGGUGCCUUGGUGGAAGAGUGGGGUAACAUCUCACAGCAAGAACUGGCAAAUCUGGUGCAGUCCAUGAGGAGGAGAUGCACUGCAGUACUUAAUGCAGCUGGUGGCCACACCAGAUACUGAAUGUUACUUUAGAUUCCCCCCCCUUUGUUCAGGGACACAUUAUUCAAUUUCUGUUGGUCACAUGUCUGUGGAACUUGUUCAGUUUGUCUGUUGUUGAAUCUUGUUAUGUUCAUAGAAAUGUUUACAUUUUAAGUUUUCUGAAAAUAACAGCAGUUGACAGUGAGAGGACGUUUCUUUUUCUUUGCUGUGUGUGUGUGUGUGUGUCUAUCAAACAUGACAAACAAAUGCCAACCGGUAACCUCUGACUCUCCAGGCAUCACCAUGGGGAAAGCCCUUUCCCUCCUGCCCAAGCAGGCAUGCCACGAAGACUCCCAGGACAGCCUGACCACCACCCAGGAGGAUGAUGGGAAGAGAGAGGAUGUGUCCCAGUUCCCCUACGUAGAGUUCACUGGCAGGGACAGCGUCACAUGUCCCAGCUGCCAGGGCACUGGGAGGAUACCUAGAGGCCAAGAGAACCAGCUUGUAGCAUUGAUCCCAUACAGUGACCAGAGACUCAGGCCCAGGAGAACAAAGCUGUAUGUGAUGUCCUCGGUGUUUGUGUGUCUGCUGCUGUCCAGCCUGGCUGUCUUCUUCCUGUUCCCUCGUACCAUAGACGUCUCCUACGUGGGCGUCAAGUCGAUCUUCGUCACCUAUGACGAGGACAAGAGGAUUGUCUAUCUCAACGUGACGAACACUCUGAACAUCACCAAUAACAACUACUACAGUGUAGAGGUGUCCAACGUCACAGCCCAGGUCCAGUUCUCCAAGACAGUGAUCGGGAAGUCCCGCAUCAAUAACAUCACUGCUAUCAGUCCUCUGGGCAUGGAGCAGGUUGACUACAUGGUUCCCACCAUUCUAGCAGAUGAGAUGAGCUACAUGUAUGAUUACUGCAGCCUGCAGACCAUAAAGGUGCACAACAUCGUUGUCAUGAUGCAGGUGACGGUGACGACGAUGUACUUUGGCCACAUGGAGCAGGUCACUCAGGAGAUGUACCAGUAUGUAGACUGUGGAGGUAACACCACCACUCUGAGGGGGGCGCAGCCCAAGGUGUCUAAUGCCCCAAUACCCCCAGAGUAACCCCCCUUGCUCUACCUCACCUGAGCCGGCCCUGGAGAAGGUCCUUGGAAGCUAGUCUUACAUCAGAAAUCUGGCAGAACUACUGGUUGUUUAGGCUUGUGCUCCAGCCCUUCUCUAACACGGCUGGUCAGUUGAAGAAGGUAUGUUCGAGCAGGGAUACGCGUUUGCACCCAGUAGCUCUCCGGGAGGAGAGUUGGCCACCCCAGCCGUAGAUGGAUCACUGUUUUUCUCUCCACCACCCGUCUACCGAUGAAGACCCCACUGUAGAUGUCAUGUAUUUCUGUGUUCGCUCACCAUUGUGUUGGGAGUAUAUGCCAGAUGGGCAAUGGAGGGGGAAAAUGUGUCUACUGACAAAAAUAGUGUUUUUUUAGACAUUAAAAACAAUUAAGUACCAUAAUGUUUCAGUACCAAACCAUUAUGCACUUUAUUAAUGCAUUUAACAUUCAACUUCUCAUUGUGUUAAUGUAAAAUGUUACGAAGCCACUCCACACUCCUCCAAACCACUUGAACAGUAGAUGUCUGAACUAAUAAUCCUCAGUCUAUGGAAGAGGAUAACCUCAGUUCUCUCAGUAAUCUGGGCUCAAAUCUGUAUCUCUAUGAUAGUCAAAGGAGUUGAACCAACAGAUCUGGGACCAGUCAACUAUUCUCAGUCAGACCUCACGUAACACAUUAAUAAUGUGUAUUAUUUAAUUCUGCUGAUAAGUCAGAGGCACAGUGAGCCAAGUCUGAAAUGACACCUAUGACUAUAGAACACACUACUAGGUCUCUAGCCAAAGGUAGUGCGCUAUAUAGGUUUCUCAAACUAAACUCUGGACCUCAAAGCCAGUUCCACUGCGUUUUGUUCAUGGUCCCUUCUAAUCUGGGACUGAUUUUAGACCUGGAACAACAGGUGUGUGCAAUUUAAUUGUCAGGUAGAACAGAAAACUAGCAGGCUCUGGACCUCGUAGGGAGAGUUGAAUAGCCCUGGUAUAGGGGAUAGGGUGGUGUUUGGGGUGAAGCCAGAAUGUGGCAUUUCUCAUAUGUAUAAGCUUGUAAUGACCAGGCUCUCCUCUAGAGGCCUCUCUGUACAAUCUGGAUUUGGACCAGUUGUUUACUAAUAUUAGCCUCUGUUGGGUGAUCAAACUGUGUUAAUGUGUGAUCUAUUGAUUGAAUUGAAAGGCUUAUGUCCAUAAAAUGGAGUCAUUUUAAAGAAAUUAAGUUAUUAAAAGUCCCUUCCACCACUCUGUUCCCAAUUGGUACAAUAACAAGAUUGAUUGAUAGUCAUUCAUUAUCAGUAAUUUACCUCUUCCUUCUGAGUUCGUGCCUACGAGGGACUCGCAUAAUGUUUUGUGAUACCAACCUACUGCUGACUUGAAUUCGACCAACUUAGUUUUUACAUGCAUAAAGAGGAUCACCGGCAAGGGACUUUGUACGUUUUUGAUAAAUGACUUCCCUGCAUAUCAAACUCAGUUGAAGAGUUUAGAACUACCUAGAUUUAAUACCACGUUUGUAAUAUGAUUCCUACCUACAUUGCGGAAAACCUUUUUGAAAUGUACAACUCAAAUAGAAACUACCCUCUGUCAUAGAAAUAUACCUUGAAUUUCUUUAUGAAUUCUCAUACCUAGUAGUUUGCCGUUAUCUAAUUUGCAAUUUCCUAGGUUAUCGUAGAGCACAACAUUUAACAUGUGUACAGUCAUUUGUUCCUAAUCAAUUAAUCUUGUAUGGAAGAGUGGAUCAGCUUUUGAAUGACUGUUAGGAUUGAGUGAAGACUUGCAGUACUACUGACAUCAACUAGAAGAGUGGUUUGAGCUGAUGAGGCUGUUCUUCCUAAUGUCUACUACUGCUGUGGGGUACUGACAUUUAUUUUGAUUAACGGUAUUUGACUAAAUGUAAAUACAAGAAAUUUUUUUAAAUGUACAUGUAGUUGUGUUUUUAUUUGCUUUUCAUCAUGAUACAUUCAAAAUGGUUGAUCACGAUUUGUCCUACCUAGUUUUAUUGCGUGGUUACCCUUUCUGAAAGCGUGAAUAAAGUUUUCGACAUCUCAUUUGUCUCUUGUAUUUUCUUCUGUCUUUGUUCAUGCCUUUUUAUUUAACCAACCUCAGAGGAACUGGUAAGAAAUGGAACACACGUGCAAAUUAGCGCAUGAAUCAGUGUGACAUCACAAUUCACUCACAAUGCACUCAUGAACCCAUAGAAUUGUAAUCAUACUGCAAAACUUGUCUCCUGAGCAGAAGUGAACUCACACAAUGUUGCCAUGGGGACAGUUGACAGCCAGUGGGGACAGUUUUUACAUCAUAAACACCAUAUGUGACGUCAAACACCUGUCUGCAUAAAUAGCCUGUUUUGGCACAUUUAAUUUCCCUAGGUGGCUGAAGGUACGUUGGUAACCAUGCACUUUCAGCCCAAUUUGGAAGAUGAUCUUCCUUUUGCCUUACAGCUAGAACAUGGGCAGACAGGGAAAUCUGGAGGAAUUUGCAUCCAGAGAGUAGCUGGCUUCAAUCUAGUAUGUUCUAUACCCAGGACUAUUGUGCCCUUGGGCAAAGCACGUACCGCCAGCUGACCCUAUGCUGCUCCCAGCCUGUCGUGUGUGUGGUGCGUGUGUCAGGUUGGGUCCUUUGCUUUGACAGCAAAUAUGAAAAGAAUGUUUCUGCGAAUAGUAUUGUAUAUUACACAUAUUGUAGUUUCUUUUUGCAUUUUGUGUAUGCAGGAUCAGCAGUGACAUUACUUGUGAACAAUGCUGCCCCUGCCCCUUACAGUGCAGGUGGGGUAUACCAGAUGUACCACGCAGCACCAUCAGCCUCCUGGCACGGUCUUCCUGUGUACCAAGGCCCCCCACCUCACCAGCUGGCCUUGACCACUUCAGAGAUACACAGGGAGACUAUUCCCAUGGGUCCUGUUGAAACACCUGAGACAAGCCAGCAUCAGGACAUUUUAGACUUGAGCCAGAGUUCAGAGUCUUCUGAGCCACCCAAGAGGAAGAGAAAGAAAAAGAAGAAGAAGAAGAAGCAUGCUGCACCUAAACAGAGGGACCCACAUGGCAGCUUUGAUUGGACCAGCCAAGAACACAGCACUACAGAGAAGUACAAGAGGAUAAUGUCACUGCUGAGGAAAGACGGGGUGGAGGUGGUGGAUGAGACAGGUACUAAGGGACUAACAGACACUGACAGUGAGUCUGACCAACAUGUGAAUCAAAUGAGGAGAAAGAGAGCAGUGAGUAAAGGAAAAAAACAGAGCAUCAAAGGGAAAAAAGCAACAGUGAAAAGUAGGAGCCGAAACCAGGCUAACCGACUAAACCGAGACAAUGGAGAUUUUCAGCAAUCUGACAUAUCCUCAUCUCUGCUGGAGACACAGGCCGUUGGGCCUGCACUGGAGCGGUUAUUCUACCUACCAGCAGAGGGCAAUGAUGGGGAAGACCUGCUCGCCGAAGUGUUGGAAGAGCUCUCAGGGGUUCCAAGAUACCCAGACCUCUCAGAGGAAGCUUUGAGCAACAUGACCCUAUCACAAUAUGCCACUCUCAUGAACAUGUUCCCCCAUCCGCAGCUUCCGCCCUUACCCGUACCCUCCUUCCUCCCUCUGCGACCUAACGUCGGCCCAGUCUAUAGAGAGACUCCAGAGUUACUCACACCAUCUACCCACUGCGACUGGGUCACCCAUGGCAACCCCAGUGAUGCCAGCAACACCAAUACAGUUGGCCAUUUUGAGGACCACUAUCCUGCCUCUCCAGAACCUCAGCAGCCAGGUGAUUCCGACUACACCAAUACCUACAGCCGUUUUGGCAACCCUUCAGCUAUAACUCCAGAACCCCUGCAGCCAGGUGACUACACCAAUACAGGCAACCAUUUGGAAGACCAACACAUUGCCUUACCUGACAAUGUGGUUAGCCAGUUUUUGGAGUCUGACUAUAUUUCCCCUGAGCCUGCCUCCUCCCCAGAGCCAGAGCUUCAGCCUUUAGUGCUGAGUGUAGAGAGGGAGCCAAUGAAGAGAGAGGCCCAGAGACUGAGGCAGCAGACAGCCAGGAUGACGUUAUAUGGCCUGGACCACAACCCACUGGCCGACAGAGAGGACUUCACACUGGAGCGCUGCCUGGACAUGUUUACUGACUGAAACACAGUGACUGUGACUACGGAACAAUAACCUCAGGAAAUCGUUUUGGGAUUUUUCACCAAUAAACAUUUGGAAUAAAGGCAACGCUCUGCUGUUGUUAAUUCUAAUCUAACGUACAUUUGUUUACACUUUAUAUAAUCUGUUGUAGGGAAUAUAAUAGAAUACCAUCAUAAUAGAUUGGCUAGUGUACAUACCGUCACACUGUUGGCUAGUUCAUUUGCUAGUCAUUUUGAUAUCUCCAUGUCUCAGGGAAAUGAAAUGUAGUUGGUGGAUUUACAGUUGAUAUCAGGCAGCGAUGAUGAUAACAUAUCAAGAUAAGGGAGAAAGACAAAAUGCUAGAUUUAUCUCCGCACUCGUUUUCUGCUGUUGGAACUGUGGCUGUCGUUCGAAACAGUCCUCUGAUUUGAAGGCCUGUGUGUGUAGGCCUUGUCCUCUUAAGGCUGAGCACCCCAAAGUACACAACAGGACAGGGCCAGACUUUUGUUCACAUGGAGACCCAAUACGAAGACAUAAUAUCGAACCCAAUCAAGCACAUGAUUCACCUUGUGAAACAUGCUGACUCAGAAGAAAGCCUAAAUAUCCUUAAUAAAAUUGAUUAGUGGUGGAAAAAGCACCCAAUUGUCAAACUUGAGUAAAAGUAAAGAUACCUUCAUAGAAAAUGACUCAAGUAAAAGUGAAAGUCACCCAG